GUGGGGAAUCUUCCGCAAUGGACGAAAGUCUGACGGAGCAACGCCGCGUGAGUGAUGAAGGUCUUCGGAUUGUAAAGCUCUGUUAAUCGGGACGAAAGAGCCUAGUGUGAAUAAUGCUAGGAAGUGACGGUACCGGAAUAGAAAGCCACGGCUAACUACGUGCCAGCAGCCGCGGUAAUACGUAGGUGGCAAGCGUUGUCCGGAAUUAUUGGGCGUAAAGCGCGCGCAGGCGGAUCUGCCAGUCUGUCUUAAAAGUUCGGGGCUUAACCCCGUGAUGGGAUGGAAACUACAGAUCUAGAGUAUCGGAGAGGAAAGUGGAAUUCCUAGUGUAGCGGUGAAAUGCGUAGAUAUUAGGAGGAACACCAGUGGCGAAGACGACUUUCUGGACUGUAACUGACGCUGAGGCUCGAAAGCCAGGGGAGCGAACGGGAUUAGAAACCCCAGUAGUCC
This 450-nucleotide ribosomal RNA is filed under the name uncultured bacterium. RNAcentral describes it as "partial 16S ribosomal RNA". It matches the Rfam family "Bacterial small subunit ribosomal RNA", at positions 354 to 796 of the family's 1533-position model. The record is from RNAcentral.